Molecule: transfer RNA, 74 nt
Rfam family: tRNA
About the family: Transfer RNA (tRNA) molecules are approximately 80 nucleotides in length.
GCAUACAUAGCUCAACUGGAUAGAGCACUUGACUUCGGAUCAAGGGGUUGUGGGUUCAAGUCCUACUGUGUGUA